GGAGAGGUGUCCGAGCGGCCGAAGGAGCACGAUUGGAAAUCGUGUGCCCUGCGAAAUCGGGGUCGCGGGUUCAAAUCCCGCCCUCUCCG
This 89-nucleotide transfer RNA is filed under the name Caldifarciminota bacterium RBG_13_43_14. RNAcentral describes it as "tRNA-Ser". It matches the Rfam family "tRNA". Rfam says of the family: Transfer RNA (tRNA) molecules are approximately 80 nucleotides in length. Their secondary structure includes four short double-helical elements and three loops (D, anti-codon, and T loops). Lineage: Bacteria; Pseudomonadati; Caldifarciminota. The record is from RNAcentral.